This 211-nucleotide ribosomal RNA is filed under the name Salmonella enterica subsp. enterica serovar Oslo. Its description in RNAcentral is "partial 16S ribosomal RNA". It matches the Rfam family "Bacterial small subunit ribosomal RNA", at positions 1 to 217 of the family's 1533-position model. The record is from RNAcentral. Lineage: Bacteria; Pseudomonadati; Pseudomonadota; Gammaproteobacteria; Enterobacterales; Enterobacteriaceae.
AAAUUGAAGAGUUUGAUCAUGGCUCAGAUUGAACGCUGGCGGCAGGCCUAACACAUGCAAGUCGAACGGUAACAGGAAGCAGCUUGCUGCUUCGCUGACGAGUGGCGGACGGGUGAGUAAUGUCUGGGAAGCUGCCUGAUGGAGGGGGAUGACUUCUGGAACCGGUGGCUAAUACCGCAUAACGUCGCUAGACCAAUGAGGGGGACCUUCG